Oreochromis aureus is the source of this 915-nucleotide long non-coding RNA. The record is from Ensembl. NCBI's taxonomy places the organism in Eukaryota, Metazoa, Chordata, Actinopteri, Cichliformes, Cichlidae.
CCUUGGUCAACACUGUUUUAAAUGUGCUAUAUAAAUAAAUUUGACUUUGAAUUCAGGAUACUGUAACAUACAGAGGAAUUCCCGGUUCAGUCAAAGCAAGGAGCCAGUCAGGGUGCUAAACAGCCUCAAACCAUCACACCUUCACCACCAUGCCUGAUAAUUGGUUUCAGGUGUUCACUAAAUGUGGUGCUGUACAUUACACCAGAGAUCUUGACUUUGGUCUCAUUUGUUCAAAGGAUGUUGUUCCAGAAGUCUUUAGUCAUCAUUACCUGACGAGUUUGUUGCAUUCUAUUCUGGUCCACUUCCAUUUUUUUCUCUCCUCUCACUUCUCACCUUCGCAACUUUAUAGGUAGGACUUCAUUAGCUGAUGCACACCAGAUUAUUGGCUUGGGUAUACUCUUGGCUGGCUUUUUGGUGGUUAGCCUUGUGUUGCCACUUGGAUGGAAGAAAUGCUGUGAAAAGAACAAGAAAUGCUCAAGUUGCUGUGACAGAAAACUGCUAUAUGACCAAAUGAUUUUGGAGGAGGAAGAAAAUGUAUUCACAGAGAUGAUGAGAAAAGCAGCAAAAGAUAAACUGACAGAAGAAAUACAGAAAACACUCAACAGUGAACGUUGGGGGGAAUCUUUUGAUGUUGCUGAUCAUCUGAUUACAAGCAGAACUCCACCAGGACGCAGGGAAGACAUUUCUAUGGAAAAUCGGCAGCCAGAGGGGGGCCCCCUAAUGGAUGAGCAUGUUUGACAAAGAUGCACAACAACAAUGUGAGGAAAGUAUCGCCACUGCGAUUCUUAUCAGAAUUCAAGUUUCAUUUUCAGUUUAUAACAAAAAAUAUGUAUGUACAUCACAAGUGAAAAUAUAUUUUCACUUGUAAUAUCUUAAAGAUUAUAGUAAAAUUUUUAUGUUAUCCUUAUAAAUACC